AACGCGAAGAACCUUACCUACCCUUGACAUGCCCGGAAGCCCGGUGAGAGCUGGGGGUGCCCGAAAGGGAGCCGGGACACAGGUGCUGCAUGGCUGUCGUCAGCUCGUGUCGUGAGAUGUUGGGUUAAGUCCCGCAACGAGCGCAACCCUUGCCAGUAGUUGCCACAUUCAGUUGGGCACUCUACUGGGACUGCCGGUGACAAACCGGAGGAAGGUGGGGAUGACGUCAAGUCCUCAUGGCCCUUAUGGGUAGGGCUUCACACGUAAUACAAUGGCGCGUACAGAGGGUUGCCAACCCGCGAGGGGGAGCCAAUCCCAGAAAGCGCGUCGUAGUCCGGAUUGUUCUCUGCAACUCGAGAGCAUGAAGUCGGAAUCGCUAGUAAUCGCAGGUCAGCAUACUGCGGUGAAUACGUUCCCGGGUCUUGUACACACGC
This 434-nucleotide ribosomal RNA is filed under the name uncultured bacterium. RNAcentral's name for it is "bacterial SSU rRNA". It matches the Rfam family "Bacterial small subunit ribosomal RNA", at positions 958 to 1393 of the family's 1533-position model. The record is from RNAcentral.